GAGUUUGAUCAUGGCUCAGAUUGAACGCUGGCGGCAUGCCUUACACAUGCAAGUCGAACGGCAGCAUGAUCUAGCUUGCUAGAUUGAUGGCGAGUGGCGAACGGGUGAGUAAUACAUCGGAACGUGCCCUGUAGUGGGGGAUAACUAGUCGAAAGAUUAGCUAAUACCGCAUACGACCUGAGGGUGAAAGUGGGGGACCGCAAGGCCUCAUGCUAUAGGAGCGGCCGAUGUCUGAUUAGCUAGUUGGUGGGGUAAAGGCCCACCAAGGCGACGAUCAGUAGCUGGUCUGAGAGGACGAUCAGCCACACUGGGACUGAGACACGGCCCAGACUCCUGCGGGAGGCAGCAGUGGGGAAUUUUGGACAAUGGGCGAAAGCCUGAUCCAGCAAUGCCGCGUGUGUGAAGAAGGCCU
Molecule: ribosomal RNA, 412 nt
Filed under: uncultured microorganism
Description: bacterial SSU rRNA
Rfam family: Bacterial small subunit ribosomal RNA
Source: RNAcentral